CCUACGGGAGGCAGCAGUGGGGAAUUUUGGACAAUGGGCGAAAGCCUGAUCCAGCAAUGCCGCGUGAGUGAAGAAGGCCUUCGGGUUGUAAAGCUCUUUUGUCAGGGAAGAAACGGUGAGAGCUAAUAUCUCUUGCUAAUGACGGUACCUGAAGAAUAAGCACCGGCUAACUACGUGCCAGCAGCCGCGGUAAUACGUAGGGUGCAAGCGUUAAUCGGAAUUACUGGGCGUAAAGCGUGCGCAGGCGGUUUUGUAAGUCUGAUGUGAAAUCCCCGGGCUCAACCUGGGAAUUGCAUUGGAGACUGCAAGGCUAGAAUCUGGCAGAGGGGGGUAGAAUUCCACGUGUAGCAGUGAAAUGCGUAGAUAUGUGGAGGAACACCGAUGGCGAAGGCAGCCCCCUGGGUCAAGAUUGACGCUCAUGCACGAAAGCGUGGGGAGCAAACAGGAUUAGAUACCCUGGUAGUCCACGCCCUAAACGAUGUCUACUAGUUGUCGGGUCUUAAUUGACUUGGUAACGCAGCUAACGCGUGAAGUAGACCGCCUGGGGAGUUCGGUUGCAAGNUUAAAACUUCAAAUUGAAUUGACGG
This 587-nucleotide ribosomal RNA is filed under the name uncultured bacterium. RNAcentral's name for it is "bacterial SSU rRNA". It matches the Rfam family "Bacterial small subunit ribosomal RNA", at positions 338 to 916 of the family's 1533-position model. The record is from RNAcentral.